RNAcentral lists this ribosomal RNA (366 nucleotides) under Triticum aestivum (bread wheat). RNAcentral describes it as "partial small subunit ribosomal RNA". Lineage: Eukaryota; Viridiplantae; Streptophyta; Magnoliopsida; Poales; Poaceae. The record is from RNAcentral.
AUGGCGUCUCACCUCCAGCUAUCCUGCUCCGAGUCGGGCUCUCCUUCCCCCGCCCCGUCGUUCGCGCCCCCGCGGUCUCCGCUCAGAUCUGGGGCUGCGCCGACCGUGGGCUCUGCCUUGGGUCCGCUCCAGCCUUCCGGUCCGGUCCUGCGCCGUGGCGGAGAUGUGGAGUGGCGCGAGCAGAGGAGCCGUCGCCAACCCCGACGCGUCUCCCCGCCGGCUGCGCGAGGGGGGGGGGGGGCUGCCCUUCGGGUGCAGGAGCUCCCGUCCCUGCGGCCUCCGCCCACAGGAAUGCCAUCCCGGCUCGUCGGCUGCUGCUACAACUGCGGCGAGCUGGACCAUAUCUCCAGGAAGUGCAUGAAUUAG